GACGAACGCUGGCGGCGUGCUUAACACAUGCAAGUCGAACGGAAAGGCCCCCAUCUUGGUGGGGGUGCUCGAGUGGCGAACGGGUGAGUAACACGUGGGUGAUCUGCCCUGUACUUCGGGAUAAGCUUGGGAAACUGGGUCUAAUACCGGAUAGGACCAUGGUUUAGUGUCUCAUGGUGGAAAGAUUAUUUUUUUGGUGCAGGAUGAGCUCGCGGCCUAUCAGCUUGUUGGUGGGGUAAUGGCCUACCAAGGCGUCGACGGGUAGCCGGCCUGGGAGGGUGGACGGCCAGAUUGGGACUGAGAGACGGCCCAGACUCGUACGGGAGGCAGCAGUGGGGAAUAUUGCUCAAUGGGAGCAAGCCUGAUGCAGCGACGCCGCGUGAGGGAUGACGGCCUUCGGGUGGUAAACUCCUUUCGUUAGGAACGAAGCCGCACUUUUUUUGGGUGUGGUGACGGUACCUUUGUGAAGAAGCACCGGCUAACUACGUG
This 489-nucleotide ribosomal RNA is filed under the name uncultured bacterium. Its description in RNAcentral is "partial 16S ribosomal RNA". It matches the Rfam family "Bacterial small subunit ribosomal RNA", at positions 28 to 507 of the family's 1533-position model. The record is from RNAcentral.